GAUGAACGCUGGCGGCGUGCCUAACACAUGCAAGUCGAGCGAUCUUCUUCGGAAGAGAGCGGCGGACGGGUGAGUAACGCGUGGGUAACCUGCCCUGUACACACGGAUAACAUACCGAAAGGUAUGCUAAUACGGGAUAAUAUGCUUUUAUCGCAUGGUAGAAGUAUCAAAGCUCCGGCGGUACAGGAUGGACCCGCGUCUGAUUAGCUAGUUGGUAAGGUAACGGCUUACCAAGGCGACGAUCAGUAGCCGACCUGAGAGGGUGAUCGGCCACAUUGGAACUGAGACACGGUCCAAACUCCUACGGGAGGCAGCAGUGGGGAAUAUUGCACAAUGGGCGAAAGCCUGAUGCAGCAACGCCGCGUGAGCGAUGAAGGCCUUCGGGUCGUAAAGCUCUGUCCUCAAGGAAGAUAAUACGGUACUUGAGGAGGAAGCCCCGGCUAACUACGUG
RNAcentral lists this ribosomal RNA (451 nucleotides) under uncultured bacterium. Its description in RNAcentral is "bacterial SSU rRNA". It matches the Rfam family "Bacterial small subunit ribosomal RNA", at positions 28 to 507 of the family's 1533-position model. The record is from RNAcentral.